Molecule: ribosomal RNA, 1384 nt
Filed under: Escherichia coli
Lineage: Bacteria; Pseudomonadati; Pseudomonadota; Gammaproteobacteria; Enterobacterales; Enterobacteriaceae
Description: partial 23S ribosomal RNA
Rfam family: Bacterial large subunit ribosomal RNA
Source: RNAcentral
AAAGCUAUUUAGGUAGCGCCUCGUGAACUCAUCUCCGGGGGUAGAGCACUGUUUCGGCAAGGGGGUCAUCCCGACUUACCAACCCGAUGCAAACUGCGAAUACCGGAGAAUGUUAUCACGGGAGACACACGGCGGGUGCUAACGUCCGUCGUGAAGAGGGAAACAACCCAGACCGCCAGCUAAGGUCCCAAAGUCAUGGUUAAGUGGGAAACGAUGUGGGAAGGCCCAGACAGCCAGGAUGUUGGCUUAGAAGCAGCCAUCAUUUAAAGAAAGCGUAAUAGCUCACUGGUCGAGUCGGCCUGCGCGGAAGAUGUAACGGGGCUAAACCAUGCACCGAAGCUGCGGCAGCGACGCUUAUGCGUUGUUGGGUAGGGGAGCGUUCUGUAAGCCUGCGAAGGUGUACUGUGAGGUAUGCUGGAGGUAUCAGAAGUGCGAAUGCUGACAUAAGUAACGAUAAAGCGGGUGAAAAGCCCGCUCGCCGGAAGACCAAGGGUUCCUGUCCAACGUUAAUCGGGGCAGGGUGAGUCGACCCCUAAGGCGAGGCCGAAAGGCGUAGUCGAUGGGAAACAGGUUAAUAUUCCUGUACUUGGUGUUACUGCGAAGGGGGGACGGAGAAGGCUAUGUUGGCCGGGCGACGGUUGUCCCGGUUUAAGCGUGUAGGCUGGUUUUCCAGGCAAAUCCGGAAAAUCAAGGCUGAGGCGUGAUGACGAGGCACUACGGUGCUGAAGCAACAAAUGCCCUGCUUCCAGGAAAAGCCUCUAAGCAUCAGGUAACAUCAAAUCGUACCCCAAACCGACACAGGUGGUCAGGUAGAGAAUACCAAGGCGCUUGAGAGAACUCGGGUGAAGGAACUAGGCAAAAUGGUGCCGUAACUUCGGGAGAAGGCACGCUGAUAUGUAGGUGAAGUCCCUCGCGGAUGGAGCUGAAAUCAGUCGAAGAUACCAGCUGGCUGCAACUGUUUAUUAAAAACACAGCACUGUGCAAACACGAAAGUGGACGUAUACGGUGUGACGCCUGCCCGGUGCCGGAAGGUUAAUUGAUGGGGUCAGCGCAAGCGAAGCUCUUGAUCGAAGCCCCGGUAAACGGCGGCCGUAACUAUAACGGUCCUAAGGUAGCGAAAUUCCUUGUCGGGUAAGUUCCGACCUGCACGAAUGGCGUAAUGAUGGCCAGGCUGUCUCCACCCGAGACUCAGUGAAAUUGAACUCGCUGUGAAGAUGCAGUGUACCCGCGGCAAGACGGAAAGACCCCGUGAACCUUUACUAUAGCUUGACACUGAACAUUGAGCCUUGAUGUGUAGGAUAGGUGGGAGGCUUAGAAGUGUGGACGCCAGUCUGCAUGGAGCCGACCUUGAAAUACCACCCUUUAAUGUUUGAUGUUCUAACGU